This is a long non-coding RNA of Equus caballus (horse), 3494 nucleotides long. NCBI's taxonomy places the organism in Eukaryota, Metazoa, Chordata, Mammalia, Perissodactyla, Equidae. The record is from Ensembl.
AGUUCCCAAGAAGAGGGGGCACGCCACGCCACGCAGGUAUGCCUCUGCAGCCGCAGAACCAGAGAGUACUGCAGAGGGUUCUCCUCCACCCAGGAGAACAUCCCGAUGGUGAGGUCCGUCCAUGGCCCCAUAAGCCUGGAGGGCCCCAGCUGCCCAAGGCCUCCUGAGUGGGCUCGUACUGCGCAUGCACAUGCUAUGCGCUGCGCGUUCAACGUAGCCAGGCAUCUGGAAGAGUUCAAAGGUGGUGAGAGGCAGGAUCACUGACACGGGCUCUUGGGGAACCUGGGCGUCUAAUUCCAAGCUGGAACCUAACCAGUGCAGUCUAUUCCUCCCAAAAGUUUCCCCUGGCAGAUCCAGGGGAAACUUGAAAAUCUUGGCACAGCUGGGUGGGGCGGAGCUCUCCUCCGAUAAGAGGUACCCGGGAGGCCUGCUUGCUGAAGGUCCUGGCUGCUGGGUCAGGUGCGGGAGAGUGAACUGUGCGUCCGGGUUCCUCACAGCCCUCUGGAACAAGGGGGAAUAUAGGCCAGCCUGGACCUUGUACCCUGACAGGACCUGAGUCAGAAGAGGCCAGGUCACCAUUGCAGGCUCUUGGGUGAAACGAAGCAUCUGCAAAUGCGCAGGACGGCACCGUUCUGAACUAAGGCGGCUAGUCACCUUAAAGCGAGAUACCGCGAGAACUCUGAAGCCUCGCUCGGUGAGACCAGAGUGUCCUGGAAUGAGAGACACGUGGGAGCCGUGGUUCCUGUACAGGCCCCAGUUCCCAUCAGCAGCACGAACAAGUGGGAACUGACUGUCGCCACCUGUGUAGCAACAGUAACUCAUCACAUUUCAGCCGGUGGGGAUGCUCCACACGGGAACGUAUCCAGGUGGUUCAUCUGAGCCGUGGACCCACAGGCCUGAAGAGCCCUAGCUGACUAAGCCAUGCUGAAUGGAUCAUUUACAUUCGUGGAGCACUUCAGGACUCACGGCAGCCAACUACCAGGCCUCCGCUGUGGGAAUCUUCUUGGUAUGCAGGCACAGACAAGCCCCUUGAAGAUGGCUGCUGCCCCAGAUUUUCCUCUAGGUCCUCCUGUACUGAAUUUCUUCUAAGUAGCUCAUGGAAGAAUCUGGUUCAUUAUAUGUGAAGUUUAUUUGGAAGAAUGAAAAGAAUUGUUGCCCUCCAGAAGAACUGCUUAGUGACAUCUGUGGAGAGGUGCUGGACAUCUUGAGAUUCCUCCUGACCUAGGGCUAUGGAGUGGGGCCAAAGCCAGCACUAUGGUUGCCCUUUGUCACAUUGCUGCAGUUUGUAAGUUUGCAUUAGUCAAUAGCACUUGGAGGGUCUGAUUACUUACUUGUGAACAUUUGCUCUUGGCUGUAAACUGGUAAAUAAACAAAGGCUCUGCAUGAGAGAGCAAUGACAUUUUGGUAAUUCUAAGGGAAAAAAAGUCGAUUUGAGCACUUGAUUAUAAAGAGAGGAAACCAAGAUGUUACAUUUUGCAGCCGUUUGUCCCCCCCAUUUGUAACUGACAGAUUGGAUUUCACACAUGGAAACUGGAAGACGACUUGUCUUUAAAAACGGUCUAAUUACAUUUGGAACUUAAGGGAAAUAGAAGAUUCCAGGAUAUUUUUGUUUUGAAUUUGAAAUUGGGGACAGUGCAUGCACAGUUGUUUGUUUUCACACUUUAUGGGAAUGAAUCACACCAUGUCGACCGUGAGAUUUAAUUAUGUAUUUAGCAGAGAAGCUGGAGGUGUGCCAGUGCAAUAGCUAAGCUGCUGGAAUAGCCUGUGCACAGCCCCUUCCAGUUUCUAGACACUGCAAACCUUUCCUAAUAGCACGUUUAACAUGGGAGAUGGAAUAGUGUUGAUGAGAUGCAUCAAGUCUCAGCGCAGUGCUUCCGCGAGGAAACAAAAUGUUGAUGUUAAAAGAAGGACAUUUUUAUAAUGGGGAGCAAAGCUGCUGAACCUCUAGGCAUAGGGUCUAACUUUAAUUGAAGCAAUUUGAGCAAAAUGUGUCAUCUCUUCCUGUUCCCAUUGUUCUUUUUGUCUCCAAGUGGCUGCAUGAAAUCUCUUCAUCCUAAACCUUCACACGCAUGUAGAACUUGUUGCAAUAUUUAGAGGUUGGAGACCAAGGAGUGAAAUGAAACUUGAAUUUUUUUAUUUAAAAAUUUACCAUUCUUUUAAUGAGUCUUCUUCCAUACUCAAUUCAGAACUGGAUUGGCUGAGGAAAUUCUUAGAUUAAUUCUUAGAUUAAUAUAUGUUCAAAGAUUUUUUUUCUGAUAACAGCUAACUAAAUAGGUCUACAUAUUUAUGAAGGAUUCAUGAAGGACACUUACAUAAACUAAAAGGGAAUAGGCAAGACUGAUAUGAUUUUACCAUAAAAUGUAUUUCUUUCUUAAAUGUGUCUGUCCAGUAUUUUUAUUCUAAGGUUCUUGAAAGUAGCUGGGACAAACCCAGAGUUGCUUUUUUUUCUUAAUGUGUCAAAAGUCUAACAGAAGUCAUACAUUUGCUAGCAUGUGAGAGCUGUAAGGCUAAUUAAAUAUUUUUUUCUUAUUUUAUAUAAUUGUAUCAUCCUGGUCGAUUGACUGCAGAUGAUAAUUUAGAGUUUCAUUGUCCAUGGAAGAAAAUAAUAAAAAACAAAUUUUUCAUGGUAAAAAAGUCUGUGAUCCAAGGAUGUAACUCUAACAUUUAUAUUCUUAUGAUUAUUUUUGUCUGCAUUUUUCCUUGUCCCUACGUGGGGAUGGGAAUUCUACACAAAAGCAACAUAAUGACUUUGGGCAUAGAAUGGGAAAUGGAGAAUGCUAACUCCUUUUAGUUUAUAGUAAAUUCUAUCUGGAAACAAUAUUUGAUCUUUUGAUCCUUGGUCCCUCUGUCUAUAGCUAUUGAAUUCAUUCUCCUUUAAUCUAGGUUAUUGUUUGUGGAGGUUGUUGGAAUUUGGUCUCAGUGACUCUUCUGAUAGGCAAUGAUACAAUAUUUUUUCAAUAAGGUGUAGAUCACAAAGCAUCCCCCAACAGCCUCCUGCACACUAAUCUCUUCUGAUUCCGUUUCCCAGGAAACCCAACCUGCGACAGCCUCGAAGAUGUUUCUUUGGAUCCCAGAUGUUCAAAGCAUCGUCAUGUUAGGAGCCAGGAAAUGUUUUGUCAUUUCUGUUAUGUGUGAAGAAUAAUAUUUAAAAUAUUUCCCUGAAUUUGUUAUUUUCUGUCUUGCUUUGCAAUUUCUAUCAUUUGUAAACUCAAGUAGGUUUUUCUCUGUAUGUUUUUGGUGUGCCUGAUUAAACCUGUUAUUGUGGUUUUAUUUUGACACUCUUGGUGUUAAUUUUCAGGAAACACCUGUCUAAAGAACAACAUAGAGCUCAUCCUACAGGAGUGAGCCAGCCAUCUCUGCCAGGCAUAGUGGAGUUCUAACAUCUGUGUGUUCAGGCCAAAUGGUGUCUGAACCAGUUUGAUUUAAUUUACUUAUCAUUCACGUUGGAGGUAAUUCACAAUAUAAAGAUAUGUUCACAAAGAGAUCAUUUCUGC